RNAcentral lists this long non-coding RNA (1626 nucleotides) under Homo sapiens (human). RNAcentral describes it as "HSALNT0346734". Lineage: Eukaryota; Metazoa; Chordata; Mammalia; Primates; Hominidae. The record is from RNAcentral.
UGACAGGCCAGAAGACGAUGGCGGUAGGGGAGAUCACGCGAGAGCAUGGCCUCCACCUCUCCUCCCCACCGCCAUCUCCACGUUCUCGCACCGGCGCUGGGGUGCAGGCUUUCAGUGGUCUCAGGGCUACGGCUUGUCGGUGCCUCGCCGCACAGUCCCCUUUGCAUUGAAGGACACGGUCUUACGGUGUAGGAGCAUUUUUGAGGUGCAUUCCUGGAUUUGGAGGCGAACCCCCAAUGGUUACCUCCACAGAGGCUUUGCGAAGGGCGCUCACUGACUUAGGUGAAGAGCGAAGGCUCAAGACUGUGCCGCUUUAUAGUGGCCCCUUGACGUCCAGAAGUUCCCCCCAGCGCCGGUCAUAAGCACUCCCGCCGCCUGGGCCCCGCCCUGCCUGCCAGGCGCCCUCCAGCCUCAGCUCCCGGACGCCCGGCGUGGCCGCUUUCUCGCGUCUUGCUGACCCGGGCCGGGGGCGUGUGCUCCUCCUGCAGCGGACGGAAGAUGCUGGGCCACGCAAGUUUCCCUGGGCUUGGUUAACCACCCCAAAGCCCAUUUCCAGAAGGAAAGGGUGUUGAGGAGGAGGGAUAGAAAGUCGAGAAGAGGGCCGGGUGAGUGGCUCACGCCUGUCAUCCCAGCACUUUGGGAGGCCGAGACAGGCGGAUCACCUGAGGUCAGGACUUAGAGACCAGCCUGGCCUACAUGGUGAAACCCCGUCUCUACUAAAAAUACAAAAAUUAGCCGGGUGUGGUGCCGUGCGCCUGUAGUCCCAGCAACUCGGGAGGCUGAGGUAGGAGAAUCGCUUGAACCCGGGAGUCGGAGGUUGCAGUGCUGAGAUGGCACCUGGCCUGGGCGGCAAGAGCGAAACUCCAUCUCAAAAAAAAAAAGAAGAGGAAAUGAGGCAUAGGGGCAGGCGAGCCGGGAAAAUAUUGCUACUAAGGAUCCUAAGCAGUGAACAUGCUGUUAAUACUUGGUCUUGCUCUGUUGCUCAGGCUGGAGUGAAGUAGAGCAUUCACAGCCCACUGCAACCUUGAACACCUGGGCUCAAGCAAUCCUCCUGCCUCAGCCUCCUGAGUAGCUGGGACCACAGAUGUGUACCACCAUGCCCAGCUACAUGUCUUUCUUUUGGGGGGACAGCAGAAACCUGGGCAGAGGAGGAAUCCUGAUACCCAGUUCUGAAACAAAGUGGCAGAAUUUGUAAUACAGAAGAAGGAUCUUGUGACUGGUAUUCUGUUAUCCACAAGAGUAAAUGUUCCCAAAUAAACAAAACUGGGAUAUGAAAUGGUGGAGUGUGUGGUGCCUGUUCAUGAAAAAAAAAGGUCUAGAUUGCAAGAGUAAUAUUAGAGGAUUUUGGAGAUGUUUUACAACCAGAGAAUAAAAGACCAUCCUUUUGUCUGACAUGGUACAGUUUUAUGCCCCUUACAUGCAACAAGAAAACAAAAGCUAAAUAAAAUCGUAGGUCCUGAUCCUCCAGUGCUUAGAUACACUUAAUUUAAUUUUUGAAAUACUUAAGCCUACGUCAGAGAUCAUUGAGUAUUUAUUUGGGGGAAACAGAGGAGGCAAUGGCUCACCCCUGUCAGAGAGGAUCAACAACAUGCAGACAUUCCUUAUUAUGAGAGAUGGGUAACUGGA